Molecule: long non-coding RNA, 487 nt
Organism: Bombina bombina (fire-bellied toad)
Lineage: Eukaryota; Metazoa; Chordata; Amphibia; Anura; Bombinatoridae
Exons: 3
Source: RefSeq, a predicted model, not a curated record
GUCUCGCAUAAAAGCUGUGGCAGGAUGGAGCUCCUCUGUGUGGAAGCAGACAUUUUGCCUUGGGGGUCACCUGAAUUGAAUCCAGUAGAACACCUUUGGGGUAUUUUAAAGAGAAUGGUAGAGCAACACAACCUCUCCAGCAAAGAGCAGCUGAAAAAAAUGUAUCUCUGAAGAAGGACAGAACAUCUCUCCAGAAAUUUGUACAACACUGGUUUCUUCCAUGUCAAGGAGGAUUGAGUCUGUCAUCAAAAAUAAAGGUCACACCUGGGUGUGUAUCAGGUGAUAACCAUGGUAACAGUGGAUCCCAUAGGCAUAUGAAGCAAAAUCAGAGAAGGAUUUUAAUGCAAGACAGGAGGCUUCAUAUUUUGCAUCAAAUCUUUACUGAAUCCAAACAGCAGCAAAGAAAACAUACAGAGAAAAAAGAAAUAACAUAGUAACAAGACUGCACCAAUCAGCACACAGCAGCCUAAUAAACCGUAAUGAACAA